RNAcentral lists this non-coding RNA (28 nucleotides) under Homo sapiens (human). The record is from RNAcentral. Lineage: Eukaryota; Metazoa; Chordata; Mammalia; Primates; Hominidae.
UGCAUCCUGCUUCUUCUCCAUCAGUGCA